This 640-nucleotide ribosomal RNA is filed under the name uncultured bacterium. Its description in RNAcentral is "bacterial SSU rRNA". It matches the Rfam family "Bacterial small subunit ribosomal RNA", at positions 202 to 842 of the family's 1533-position model. The record is from RNAcentral.
UAAAGAUUCAUCGGCUGCGGAUGGCCAUGCGGCGCAUUAGCUAGUCGGCGGGGUAACGGCCCACCGAGGCGACGAUGCGUAGGGGUUCUGAGAGGAAGGUCCCCCACACUGGUACUGAGACACGGACCAGACUCCCACGGGAGGCAGCAGUGAGGAAUAUUGGUCAAUGGCCGGGAGGCUGAACCAGCCAAGUCGCGUGAGGGAAGACGGCCCUACGGGUUGUAAACCUCUUUUGUCAGGGAGCAAGAGGCGGGUCGAGACCUGCUGUGAGAGUACCUGAAGAAAAAGCAUCGGCUAACUCCGUGCCAGCAGCCGCGGUAAUACGGAGGAUGCGAGCGUUAUCCGGAUUUAUUGGGUUUAAAGGGUGCGCAGGCGGAGGCACAAGUCAGCGGUAAAAUCGCGGGGCUCAACCCCGCUCCGCCGUUGAAACUGUGUCCCUUGAGUGCGCGAAGGGUAGGCGGAAUGCGUGGUGUAGCGGUGAAAUGCAUAGAUAUCACGCAGAACUCCGAUCGCGAAGGCAGCCUACCGGCGCGCAACUGACGCUCAUGCACGAAAGCGUGGGUAUCGAACAGGAUUAGAUACCCUGGUAGUCCACGCAGUAAACGAUGAAUGCUAUCUGUCCGGCCGGAAUGACGGCUGG